This 371-nucleotide transfer-messenger RNA is filed under the name Escherichia coli IAI1. It matches the Rfam family "transfer-messenger RNA". From Rfam's summary of the family: Bacterial tmRNA, also known as 10Sa RNA or SsrA, is named for its dual tRNA and mRNA-like properties. Its role is to liberate the mRNA from a stalled ribosome. Lineage: Bacteria; Pseudomonadati; Pseudomonadota; Gammaproteobacteria; Enterobacterales; Enterobacteriaceae. RNAcentral also lists the same sequence under 1 other name. The record is from RNAcentral.
ACACAUUGGGGCUGAUUCUGGAUUCGACGGGAUUUGCGAAACCCAAGGUGCAUGCCGAGGGGCGGUUGGCCUCGUAAAAAGCCGCAAAAAAUAGUCGCAAACGACGAAAACUACGCUUUAGCAGCUUAAUAACCUGCUUAGAGCCCUCUCUCCCUAGCCUCCGCUCUUAGGACGGGGAUCAAGAGAGGUCAAACCCAAAAGAGAUCGCGUGGAAGCCCUGCCUGGGGUUGAAGCGUUAAAACUUAAUCAGGCUAGUUUGUUAGUGGCGUGUCCGUCCGCAGCUGGCAAGCGAAUGUAAAGACUGACUAAGCAUGUAGUACCGAGGAUGUAGGAAUUUCGGACGCGGGUUCAACUCCCGCCAGCUCCACCAA